GUGGGGAAUUUUGGACAAUGGGCGCAAGCCUGAUCCAGCAAUGCCGCGUGCAGGAAGAAGGCCUUCGGGUUGUAAACUGCUUUUGUACGGAACGAAAAGACUCUGGUUAAUACCUGGGGUCCAUGACGGUACCGUAAGAAUAAGCACCGGCUAACUACGUGCCAGCAGCCGCGGUAAUACGUAGGGUGCAAGCGUUAAUCGGAAUUACUGGGCGUAAAGCGUGCGCAGGCGGUUUUGUAAGACAGGCGUGAAAUCCCCGGGCUCAACCUGGGAAUUGCGCUUGUGACUGCAAGGCUGGAGUGCGGCAGAGGGGGAUGGAAUUCCGCGUGUAGCAGUGAAAUGCGUAGAUAUGCGGAGGAACACCGAUGGCGAAGGCAAUCCCCUGGGCCUGCACUGACGCUCAUGCACGAAAGCGUGGGGAGCAAACAGGAUUAGAUACCCCAGUAGUCC
Molecule: ribosomal RNA, 450 nt
Filed under: uncultured bacterium
Lineage: Bacteria
Description: partial 16S ribosomal RNA
Rfam family: Bacterial small subunit ribosomal RNA
Source: RNAcentral